RNAcentral lists this long non-coding RNA (530 nucleotides) under Rattus norvegicus (Norway rat). RNAcentral's name for it is "long non-coding RNA NONRATT000025". The record is from RNAcentral. Lineage: Eukaryota; Metazoa; Chordata; Mammalia; Rodentia; Muridae.
GUUAUUCUGGGUGUAAGAACUGGGCAGAGUGCUCCCCGUUACUUCCCGCGUUGUCUUCAAGCAUCCUUCCCAACCUGUGCACACGUUUGUUCGUGUCUCAGGGGUAACAGGGACAACAGGAAUGAGUGUAAGAGAGCGUGCGAGUGCCAAAGGUAGAAGUGGAGCCCUGUCUAGCACUUUUUAAGAAACUCUAAUUCCUUAGCCAGUGGACAUCACCGGGAUGUAUUUGGGAACAUUUACGCAUUGUCCCUGUUUCCGAUUGCAGGUAGAACUACUGGGCCACGGACGGCCACUGACUUGGACAUCUUCAAAGCCAAGCGGCAUUGUGGUGGAGUUGCCCCGGCUAAGCGUUCAUCAGAUGCCCUGUAAAUGGGGAUGGACUCUGGCACUAACCAAUGUCACUUAACCUGCAGCAGACAGAUGCGUUCUACAGGAGCCUCUAACCACAGGAAACGUCAGGGUUUCCUUUUUUUGUUGUUGUUGUUGUUACACUAAAGAGACUAAAUGAUAUAAAAAUGAUAUAAAAACUG